AUGCUUGCUUCAGCAGCACAUAUACUAACUUUGGAAUGAUAUGGAGAAGAUUAGCAUGGCUCCUGCGCAAGGAUGACACGCAAAUUCAUGAAGCAUUCCAUUAAAAA
This 107-nucleotide small nuclear RNA is filed under the name Theropithecus gelada (gelada). The record is from RNAcentral. Lineage: Eukaryota; Metazoa; Chordata; Mammalia; Primates; Cercopithecidae.